GAUGAACGCUGGCGGCGUGCCUAAUACAUGCAAGUCGAGCGAACAGAUGAGGAUCUUGCUCCUCUGACGUUAGCGGCGGACGGGUGAGUAACACGUGGAUAACCUACCUAUAAGACUGGGAUAACUUCGGGAAACCGGAGCUAAUACCGGAUAAUAUAUUGAACCGCAUGGUUCAUUAGUGAAAGACGGUUUUGCUGUCACUUAUAGAUGGAUCCGCGCCGCAUUAGCUAGUUGGUAAGGUAACGGCUUACCAAGGCAACGAUGCGUAGCCGACCUGAGAGGGUGAUCAGCCACACUGGAACUGAGACACGGUCCAGACUCCUACGGGAGGCAGCAGUAGGGAAUCUUCCACAAUGGGCGAAAGCCUGACGGAGCAACGCCGCGUGAGUGAUGAAGGUCUUCGGAUCGUAAAACUCUGUUAUUAGGGAAGAACAAAUGUGUAAGUAACUAUGCACGUCUUGACGGUACCUAAUCAGAAAGCCACGGCUAACUACGUG
RNAcentral lists this ribosomal RNA (497 nucleotides) under uncultured bacterium. RNAcentral describes it as "partial 16S ribosomal RNA". It matches the Rfam family "Bacterial small subunit ribosomal RNA", at positions 28 to 507 of the family's 1533-position model. The record is from RNAcentral.